RNAcentral lists this ribosomal RNA (253 nucleotides) under uncultured bacterium. Its description in RNAcentral is "partial 16S ribosomal RNA". It matches the Rfam family "Bacterial small subunit ribosomal RNA", at positions 524 to 776 of the family's 1533-position model. The record is from RNAcentral.
UACGUAGGGUGCGAGCGUUAAUCGGAAUUACUGGGCGUAAAGCGUGCGCAGGCGGUUCGUUAAGUCAGAUGUGAAAGCCCCGGGCUCAACCUGGGAACUGCAUUUGAAACUGGCGGGCUUGAGUGUGGCAGAGGGGGGUGGAAUUCCGCGUGUAGCAGUGAAAUGCGUAGAGAUGCAGAGGAACACCGAUGGCGAAGGCAGCCCCCUGGGCCAACACUGACGCUCAGGCACGAAAGCGUGGGGAGCAAACAGG